UGGGGAAUCUUGCGCAAUGGGCGAAAGCCUGACGCAGCCAUGCCGCGUGAAUGAUGAAGGUCUUAGGAUUGUAAAAUUCUUUCAGCGGGGACGAUAAUGACGGUACCCGCAGAAGAAGCCCCGGCUAACUUCGUGCCAGCAGCCGCGGUAAUACGAAGGGGGCUAGCGUUGCUCGGAUUUACUGGGCGUAAAGGGCGCGUAGGCGGAUUGACAAGUUGGGGGUGAAAGCCCGGGGCUCAACCUCGGAAUUGCCUUCAAAACUGUCAGUCUUGAGUUCGGGAGAGGUGAGUGGAACUCCGAGUGUAGAGGUGAAAUUCGUAGAUAUUCGGAAGAACACCAGUGGCGAAGGCGACUCACUGGCCCGAUANUGACGCUGAGGCGCGAAAGCNUGGGGAGCAAACAGGAUUANAUACCCUGGUAGUCCACGCUGUAAACGAUGAGUCUAGUUGUCGGCAGCAUGCCUGUCGGUGACGCAGCUAACGCAUUAAGCA
Molecule: ribosomal RNA, 491 nt
Filed under: uncultured bacterium
Lineage: Bacteria
Description: partial 16S ribosomal RNA
Rfam family: Bacterial small subunit ribosomal RNA
Source: RNAcentral